AAAUACCUAAAGAAAUUAGUUUGUUUUUACAUAAAACCGACUAUGAGAUAAUCUAGGGAGAAUAAUUAUAUGUGGAGUUGAAGGCUGGUCUUGAAUCAGAAUCCAGAAGCAUAUAUGUUUCUUACCACCUGCAAUUGCGCGGGAUUUUAUCGCAAACAGGCUAUUCUUUAGGUUUUUU
Molecule: non-coding RNA, 178 nt
Filed under: Bacilli bacterium
Lineage: Bacteria; Bacillati; Bacillota; Bacilli
Description: 6S RNA
Rfam family: 6S / SsrS RNA
About the family: E. coli 6S RNA was the first non coding RNA to be sequenced, but its function was unknown until recently. It consists of 184 nucleotides that fold into an extended hairpin structure with a large single-stranded internal bulge.
Source: RNAcentral